This 402-nucleotide ribosomal RNA is filed under the name bacterium. RNAcentral's name for it is "partial 16S ribosomal RNA". It matches the Rfam family "Bacterial small subunit ribosomal RNA", at positions 355 to 776 of the family's 1533-position model. The record is from RNAcentral.
UGGGGAAUUUUGCACAAUGGGGGAAACCCUGAUGCAGCGACGCCACGUGAUUUAGAAGGCCUUCGGGUUGUAAAAAUCUUUUCUAUGGGAAGAAAAUGACAGUACCAUAGGAAUAAGGACCGGCUAAUUACGUGCCAGCAGCCGCGGUAAUACGUAAGGUCCGAGCGUUGUCCGGAAUCAUUGGGCGUAAAGGGUACGUAGGCGGGUAAGCAAGUUAGAAGUGAAAUCCUAUAGCUCAACUAUAGUAAGCUUUUAAAACUGCUCAUCUUGAGGUAUGGAAGGGAAAGUGGAAUUCCUAGUGUAGCGGUGAAAUGCGCAGAUAUUAGGAGGAAUACCGGUGGCGAAGGCGACUUUCUGGCCAUAACCUGACGCUGAGGUACGAAAGCGUGGGUAGCAAACAGG